CUCCCCGUAGUUUAGUGGAAGAACAAGGCACUCCUAAGGCUUAGACACAAGUUCGAUUCUUGUCGGGGGGACCA
RNAcentral lists this transfer RNA (74 nucleotides) under Candidatus Altimarinota bacterium. RNAcentral describes it as "tRNA-Arg". It matches the Rfam family "tRNA". Rfam says of the family: Transfer RNA (tRNA) molecules are approximately 80 nucleotides in length. Their secondary structure includes four short double-helical elements and three loops (D, anti-codon, and T loops). Lineage: Bacteria; Candidatus Altimarinota. The record is from RNAcentral.